This 648-nucleotide ribosomal RNA is filed under the name Triticum aestivum (bread wheat). Its description in RNAcentral is "partial small subunit ribosomal RNA". Lineage: Eukaryota; Viridiplantae; Streptophyta; Magnoliopsida; Poales; Poaceae. The record is from RNAcentral.
AUGGCAAAGUAUUGGUGGAGCAGCUCCAUCGAUCGGCGUUCCAUGCAUUGGAUAGACUGGAAGUCCUUGUCACUUCCAAAAAUCAGAGGAGGGAUAUGGUUUCGAGAUUUGGAAUGCUUCAACAUCGCGCUGUUGGGCAAGCAUGACUGGAGACUGAGCACGAACCUAGAUGCUUUAUGUUCUCGGGUCCUAAAAGGCUGCUACUUCCCAACGUCUGAUUUCAUGCAUGCUAAUGUGCCUCAAAACGCUUCGACGGCCUGGAAAGGCAUCAUAGCGGGGAGGAAGAUACUGGAAGCUGGGUUACUGAACAGAAUUCAUGAUGGCAUUGUGGUGAACAUCUGGACUGGUAGAUGGCUCCCUGGGAAGCUAUCAUUGCGUCCGUCGGCUCAGAUUGGCGGCGUCAUUCUCCACACAGUUUCAGACCUGAUUGACAAUGAAAAUUGGUCCUGCAAAGGUGCUUUAGUAAGGAAUAAUUUCACGCCGCCGGAUGCUGAUGCAAUCUUAAAUAUGUCUUUGAUACAAGGAGGUGGUGAUGACUUCUGGGUGUGGGCUCACGAGAGGUCGGGAUCCUAUAUUGUAAAAUAUGUGUAUCGUGCUUUCAUGACUCGCAACGAGCAACUAGCUCUAGAGGAAGAGACCAUAAAUUAA